RNAcentral lists this transfer RNA (77 nucleotides) under Gemmatimonadota bacterium. Its description in RNAcentral is "tRNA-Asp". It matches the Rfam family "tRNA". Rfam says of the family: Transfer RNA (tRNA) molecules are approximately 80 nucleotides in length. Their secondary structure includes four short double-helical elements and three loops (D, anti-codon, and T loops). Further hydrogen bonds mediate the characteristic L-shaped molecular structure. tRNAs have two regions of fundamental functional importance: the anti-codon, which is responsible for specific mRNA codon recognition, and the 3' end, to which the tRNAs corresponding amino acid is attached (by aminoacyl-tRNA synthetases). tRNAs cope with the degeneracy of the genetic code in two manners: having more than one tRNA (with a specific anti-codon) for a particular amino acid; and 'wobble' base-pairing, i.e. permitting non-standard base-pairing at the 3rd anti-codon position. The record is from RNAcentral. Lineage: Bacteria; Pseudomonadati; Gemmatimonadota.
UGGGGGCGUAGCUCAGCUUGGUUAGAGCACUGGACUGUCACUCCAGAGGCCGCGGGUUCGAGCCCCGUCGCUCCCGU